CCGUUUAUCCGCUCGGAUCAAAGUUCAAAAUGCCGCGCGGCGCGAGCUCACCAGAGCAGAUGCGUUUACUCGGUCACGCAUUAAUCAGCGUUGUGAGAUCCAGUGCUUAAAUUCAGUGUGUUCAGAAUUCACACAAAUGAUUCCUAAAUUAGUUUAAAGCCAAACAGGAUAAACAUUUUGUGCAACGAGACAGUCAGAAGGCUUUUCAAUCUACCCAUGGCCAUCAUUUUCCAUGGAUUAACUGUAGUAACACCAAGGUGUUGUGUUAAAUAUCAGGAGCGAGAUAACAACAGCGAAGGUAACCAGGUCAGAUAAGUUGAACACGCAGGCCGAAACAAGACCAAAGGGACCGUCGGUCAGAAUAUCUCCGCCAACUGGCUACCUGCACAGACUCUCUGAUGCUUGCAGGAACACGGAUCUGCAGCGAUUGUUAGAGCUGUACUCCGGCGCUGAAAAUUUUUAUUUUUGAAUAUUCUCAGGCGCUCCUAAACCAGCUUAAAUUGGAUCAUUUUAUUGUGCCGCUCCACCCUGCCAAAAUGCCAAGAGAGUGUGGGUCUUGGCGAAGGCCGGCACUCCUGAAUCUUCCCCGCGGCCUGCGCGCCCCCCACCCCUCUGCACUAUCUGCUGACACAGAGUCUUGCCCCAGGCCGAAGCUCUCCGCAUGGCCAGCCCCCUGCUGGGAAAAGAUGCACUAAGUUGGAGAGAGCUGGAGGCGUCCCAGCACACAACUGGCCAGCAGGCCACUCAAUGCGUGACACCUCACAUAUGUGUGCGCUGUCCUUUUAUACAGUAUGUACGGCACAUUGAAGUACACAUUACCAGUAAAUGAAUGUAGUUUUCUUUGCACUG
This is a long non-coding RNA of Carassius carassius (crucian carp), 849 nucleotides long. RefSeq lists it as uncharacterized. The transcript has 2 exons. The record is from RefSeq and is a predicted model, not a curated record. NCBI's taxonomy places the organism in Eukaryota, Metazoa, Chordata, Actinopteri, Cypriniformes, Cyprinidae.